Carya illinoinensis is the source of this 4424-nucleotide RNA transcript. It is a transcript of the gene named disease resistance protein RGA2-like, with no coding region annotated. Lineage: Eukaryota; Viridiplantae; Streptophyta; Magnoliopsida; Fagales; Juglandaceae. The record is from RefSeq and is a predicted model, not a curated record. The transcript has 4 exons.
ACACACACACAUUGGCCACACCCUGUCCGUUCCAUUCACAGCAAACAUCUAACUUCUCUAAAUUUGCUUAUUCGCUUAUUAUCUGAAAAAUGGCACAAGUUUUUCCCUCCAUUCUUGUUCGUGGAAGCAUUGAGCAUUUGGACGCGCGGACGGCAAAAAAGUUGGGAUUAUUAUGGUCCUGCGUCAAAGAUUUUGAAAAGCUUAAGCACAUUGUUUUAGAAUUACAACCUGUGCUUCUGGAUGCCGAGGAGCAACAAGCCGAGAACCAUGAAAUCAAAGACUGGCUCGAGAAGCUAACAGAUAUCUUAUAUGAAGUUGACGACUUGCUGGAUGAUUUAUCCAACAAAGCUCUUCGGAAAGAACUCGUGACCCGAAAUAAGAAGGCAAAACAGGUGUGCAUCUUCUUUUCCAAAUCGAAUCAACUUGCAUUUAACCGUAGAAUGGGUCCUAAGAUUAAGACUAUUCUAAAUAAUUUAGAUCACAUUGCAAACGUCAUGAGAAAGUUUCAUUUUGAGGAACACCAUGUAAACAUGCCAGUAGAAGAGAAUAGGAACAGGGUUCGUAAUGCUUUUUGUCCCGAAGAAGUACUGAUUGGUAGAGAUGAGGAUAAAAACGCAGUUGUUGAUUUUUUAAUGGACUCCAAUGUUGAGGAGAACGUUUCAAUACUUCCGAUUGUUGGAAUCGGAGGUAUGGGAAAGACAACACUAGCUCAGUUCGCAUUCAAUCACGAGAAAAUCCAAAAGUAUUUUCCGCUAAAAAUGUGGGUGCAGCUCUCUGAUGACCUUGAUAUUGAAACAGUCGCUAAAAAAAUCCUAGAAUCUGCCACAAAUAAGAAAGUACCAUUUUAUGUUUCAGUGGACCGUCUUGGACGAGAAAUUUAUGGUAAGAAGUACCUACUUGUCUUGGAUAAUGUGGGGAUCAAGAAUCCUGGAGAAUGGUUUGAUAACUUGAAACCAGGUCUAGGGAAUGGUGCAAGAGGCAGCAAAAUUUUAAUAACUACACGUAGUGAAGAGCUGGUUGCCAAUAUUAGUAUGUGCACAGUUAAACCAUAUAACUUGAGAGGUUUAGAUGAAGAUGACGCAUGGUAUUUAUUUAAACUGAUGGCGUUUGAAAGUGGCCAAGAGCCAAAUUACAAUGAGACGAUUGUGAAUAUGGGAAAGGAGAUUGUGAGUAAAUGUGAAGGUCUCCCUUUCAUCAUAAUAACAAUUGGAAGGUUAUUGUAUUUCAAAAAUUCAGAAACAGAGUGGUUGUCUUUUCUGAAUAAUGUACUUUCAAGAAUACGUCUAGAUGAAAAAGAAAAUAUCUUAGCAACUCUGAAGUUGAUUUACAAUGAACUUCCGCAGCAUUUGAAACAAUGUUUUGCUUAUUGUAGUUUAUUUCCAAAGAAUUACAAGAUUGAUAAAUCAACAUUGAUUAAUCUUUGGAUAGCACAAGGAUUUAUAAAGUCGUCAAAAGAAGCUGAAGGCCUUGAAGAUGCUGGUCAUGAAUACUUGAUGGAUUUAAUUUCGAGAUUUUUCUUUGAAAAAGUCACAACAGAUUGGUCGGGCGAAGUCACUAGCUUCGAAAUGAAUGACCUCAUGCAUGAUCUUGCUAUGUUGAUUGCAGGACCGUCGGUAACCAGAUUAUACGACCCUGGACAAGCGAGAGUUAUAAACGAGAGUACUCGUCAUGUAUGGCUUGAUUACUCUAUGGGGAUCAAUUCAGUUUCUGAGGCAAAUUAUUGUAGAAUGCGAACAUUUCUUUCACCAAGUGACAUUAAGCCUUGGCGCAUGAAAGAAUUUGAUAAACUCUUUGGAAGCUUCAAAACAUUGCGGUUGCGCGCAUUGCAAUUGGGUAGUAGAAUCCUAUAUGGUAAAGCGUCAAGCUGGUUUUGUAAGUUGAAUAGUUUAAGAUAUCUUGAUCUUUCAGGAAUGUACUUGAUGAAGAAGUUACCAGAUUCUAUAACCAGCUUGCAGAAUUUGCAGACGUUAAAACUAUGCAAUUGUAGUUGGCUUGAAGAAUGGCCCAGAGACUUUUCAAGAUUAGUCAACCUCAGGCAUCUUGACAUCAAUGGAUGCUGGAAACUGACUUAUAUGCCACGUGGAUUGGGGCAAUUGACAAAACUUCGGUCACUAUCAUACUUCCUGGUAUCCCCCCUGGAAUCUGAUCUCAACAUGCGUAGUGCCGGAUUAAAUGAAUUAAAUGGACUAAAUUACCUAAGAGGAGAUUUACAGAUUAGCAAUUUGGGGUGUGGGAAAGAUGAUGCUAAAGAUUUCUCGGCUGCAAAUUUGAAGGAGAAACAAAAGAUUGGUUCUCUAAAAUUACAUUGGGGCGAUUCAUUUGGGUGGAGGGAUGAUGCCGAUGCUGAAAAAAAAUUGUUCAGCCUAGAACCUCACAGCAAUCUUAAAAGGCUUGAAUUAAUAGGUUACAAAGGUGCGAAGUUUCCCAUUUGGCUUUCGAAUCUCACAAAUCUUGUUGAACUUCAAUUAUCAAACUGUGAAAAACUGAAAGGUUUGUUUAAUACUUGGACACUAUCGAGUAAACUGCCCUCUCUUAAGCGCCUGUUUCUUAAAUACUUGGACGCUAUUGAGUACAUGUCAGAUGGUGAUUAUGGGAACGAGUCUUCUUCUUUAUCAGCGCCAGACGUAGCAAUAUUCUUCCCAUCCUUAGAGGAACUUCAACUCCAUUAUUGCCCUAAUCUCAAGGGGUGGUGGAGGAAAGAGCCUCCUUUACUCCCUUCAUUUCCUUACCUUUCAGAGCUAUCCGUCUUGGGUUGCACUGUUCUGGAUUCCAUGCCGAUUUUUCCACGACUUGAAAAAGAGUUGGUCCUGUCUAAUGCCUGCUGGAAGCCAAUGCAACAGACAUUGAUGAUGAAUAUGGGUACGCCAGUUUGCUCAACUUCAACAACAGUAGACUCCUCUAUAUUUGCCUCUUCUUCUUUCGUUCCUCUCUCAAAAUUGAAGCGUCUACUACUAAAUAGCAUAGAAGAUCUACAGAUUCUCCCAGAGAAGGGACUGCAAAACCUGAAUUCUCUCGAGUCUUUGCAGAUUUUCCGAUGCCAUAGAUUAAAGUCUUUGUCUCAAGGUAUACAAUAUCUCACUGGACUUCAACAACUGAAGAUUAAUGACUGUGAUAAGCUUGAUCUAGGCGGCAAUGAUGAGGCUGGGAUGGGAUGGCAAGGCCUUAAGAGCCUCCUGUAUCUGGAUUUCGUCGGGCUUCCAAAAUUGGUGCAUCUGCCGUCAGGUCUUCAACAUGUUACCACUCUACAUAAGUUCCAAAUUUCGAGUUGUUGCAUGUUGAGGGCCUUACCAGAUUGGAUUUGCAAAUGGACAUCGCUUCAACAGUUCGAAAUUUCUAAUUGUCCUAGUUUGACUUCGCUGCCCGAAGAAAUGCGUUUGUUGAAGUCUUUGGAAGUGUUGACAAUUAGAAACCACUGUCCCAAAUUGUUGCCAAGAUGCGAGCGCGAGACGGGAGAGGAUUGGUCCAAGAUUACUCACAUCCCUAAAUUGUACUUGGAUCGGCCCUCCGAGUUGCAGGAAGAAGUGAAGAACGUUAGAAAGAGGUUCAAUGCUUAUCAUAAUUAUCCUAAUUCACAAGUCAACAAUUCAGCGGAAAAGAGUCAUACUACAGGUACGGACCAAAAUACGGAUAAAAAAAGGACUCCUCGCACAUUUGUUACUAUUAAUUACACUGUUCAACAAGAAGGUGAAAGAAAAAUACAGAGGAAAUUUAGGAGAAAAGGGCGGAAGGGGGUGAUCUGGACGGAGGCAAAAAGGUUGUUGAGAAAUCGAGGAGGAGGAGGGGGGUCAAGUUAAGGGUGUCGUUGUCAAGGAUGGAUAUCUAAAAUGAUUUCCAUGAGUUGCCGGGACAAAGGGUGCGCGCCCAUGGCUACAAACUGCAGCCAUCACUCUUUGAAUAUAAUUAGAUCUUGCAGGAAAGAUUUGGUUCACAUGGUGGAGCAUAUAUGAAGAUGAUGACUACAACAUGAUGAUGCAACCAAGUGCUUGAGACUUCUGUAUUACUGCAUUCCAUGAACGUCAUCUGCCAUCAAGGAUUUUGCAGUUGGAUGUUGUACAGAAAAGAAAGGACUUCCAACUAAAAAAUGGAGGAAAAUCUUCUUCGUUUGCUUCAAAGAUUCAUAUAAAUGCUUGUGACAAAAAGAAUGAUGGAGAUACAAAAUGAUAUUGAGUGCUGAUUCCUGCUGGUGGGAGUAACAACAAUUGCCUACACAAAUUUAAGAAAUUUCAAAUUCAUCAGAACAUGAAUAUGCAAUUCGAAUAUUUUUCUCUUAGUUCUGUUCCCAAGUUUUGUGGUGUGUUGAAUUCAUAGAUACCUUCAAGAAUUAUCUUCACUUUGCAUUGUUUGAUGUAAUCAUGAACAAGAAAUCUAUCCAUACUUGAUGCAAAUGCUGUAUUCGAAUUCCACAGGGCACAAGCUUUCUUGAA